AGCCCACUCACCGUCGGACGGCGAACUUCCUCCUCUCCGUUUCAUUCUCCGGCAGAUCAAGCGAUUGGAUUUUUGAAAUAUGACGUUGCUGAAGAGGUAUGUGUUGAGAUUGUUCAUAUCAUUGAAAUACAUCACUGCAAAUGUGGUAGACAGAAACAACGGGCGUAUAGUUGCAACAUCAUCUACUGUUGAACAUUCAGUGAAACAGUCACUUGAGUGCGGUAGAACUUGCAAUGCAAAGGCUGCAGCGAUUGUAGGAGAAGUGUUGGCAAUGCGUCUCAAAGUGGAGGGUCUUGAUCAGGGGCAAGGAAAUGGGAUCCAUGUCAAUGUAAAUAAAGAGGUUGAGAAGAAAGGUUUCAAGAAUCGUACAAAAGUUUGGGCUAUAGUUAACGGCCUUAAGAGCAAUGGAGUGAAGCUUAUUUUGGAUGACAAUGAAAAUGGCACUUCUCGCCCUAACUUCCACUAGAACAGUGCGCUGAUCUUCUUAUCGCACGCCUACAAGGUCUCACUACAAGAGUUGAAGAAGGUGCAGUCAUAAUUGAGCCUGAUUGCUGAAGCUAGUGAGUGACUUGGGGCAACUGAGGUUGGAUAGAAUGAGAUCAAUACUAAAACAGAGGCGGAUUCAGGAUCUGAAGUCUAGCAUUCCCACAACGUUUUCAAGUUAAUAUACAAUGAUAAGUGGGUUUACACUUUACAAUCAAACAUUCAUAGACAUUUCUACAUUUGUAGGAACUGGACAAACACUAAUAUGUUCACGUGAACACAUAGACGACACUCUAAAUCCACCUCCGUUUUCAAAGUGGUUAGCUUCUAAUCAUCUCUCUUUUUCUUCAUACUAUUUCGACCCGUUUUUUUUACCAUCUAUCCGAAGUCCAGCUUAACAGAGCCCAAACAGACAAGUUGUUGUAUAUCCAGCUUUAGAUUUUGUGUUGUAGAUUUGUAAUGUUUAG
Molecule: unclassified non-coding RNA, 950 nt
Filed under: Hevea brasiliensis (rubber tree)
Lineage: Eukaryota; Viridiplantae; Streptophyta; Magnoliopsida; Malpighiales; Euphorbiaceae
Source: RNAcentral